GAUCAAGACUGCGUCCACUGCUGCCGAAGGCUUGUGUAAAUGGUCAUUGCGAUGGAUCAAUAUGAUAAGGUUGCCCGAGUGGUAGCUCCAAAGAAGGAAGCUUUGGCUGCUGCUGAGGCUGAGUUAGCUGUGGCUAUGGAGGGUUUGGAGAAGAAGCGGUCUGCGCUUCGUGAA
This is a long non-coding RNA of Xenia sp. Carnegie-2017, 174 nucleotides long. RefSeq lists it as uncharacterized. The transcript is spliced from 3 exons. NCBI's taxonomy places the organism in Eukaryota, Metazoa, Cnidaria, Anthozoa, Malacalcyonacea, Xeniidae. The record is from RefSeq and is a predicted model, not a curated record.